This 433-nucleotide ribosomal RNA is filed under the name uncultured bacterium. Its description in RNAcentral is "bacterial SSU rRNA". It matches the Rfam family "Bacterial small subunit ribosomal RNA", at positions 64 to 524 of the family's 1533-position model. The record is from RNAcentral.
GGACGCUCACCAGGGUUUCGGCCCCGGUGGGAGUGGCGGACGGGUGAGUAGCGCGUGGGAACCUGCCCUGUUGUGGGGGAUAACCGAGGGAAACUUCGGCUAAUACCGCAUACGCCGGGAGCGAUCCCGGGUAAAGAUUUAUCGCAGCAGGAGGGGCCCGCGUCGGAUUAGGUAGUUGGUGGGGUAACGGCCUACCAAGCCGGUGAUCCGUAGCUGGUCUGAGAGGAUGAUCAGCCACACUGGGACUGAGACACGGCCCAUACUCCUACGGGAGGCAGCAGUGGGGAAUAUUGGACAAUGGGCGCAAGCCUGAUCCAGCAAUGCCGCGUGAGUGAUGAAGGCCUUAGGGUUGUAAAGCUCUUUCGGCGGGGACGAUGAUGACGGUACCCGCAGAAGAAGCCCCGGCUAACUUCGUGCCAGCAGCCGCGGUAAU